CCCUUAGAUGUCCUGGGCCGCACGCGCGUUACACUGAAGGAAUCAGCACGUCUUUCUCCUUGUCCGAAAGGACUGGGUAACCCGCUGAACCUCCUUCGUGCUAGGGAUUGGGGCUUGUAAUUCUUCCCCAUGAACGAGGAAUUCCCAGUAAGCGCGAGUCAUAAGCUCGCGUUGAUUACGUCCCUGCCCUUUGUACACACCGCCCGUCGCUACUACCGAUUGGAUGGUUUAGUGAGAUCCUCGGAUUGGUCCCGGCGCGGCCUCUGGUCGUGCCGGAGUGCCGAAAAGAAUGUCGAACUUGAUCAUCUAGAGGAAGUAAAAGUCGUAACA
RNAcentral lists this ribosomal RNA (330 nucleotides) under uncultured eukaryote. RNAcentral describes it as "partial 18S ribosomal RNA". It matches the Rfam family "Eukaryotic small subunit ribosomal RNA", at positions 1470 to 1796 of the family's 1831-position model. The record is from RNAcentral.